Molecule: ribosomal RNA, 240 nt
Filed under: uncultured bacterium
Lineage: Bacteria
Description: partial 16S ribosomal RNA
Rfam family: Bacterial small subunit ribosomal RNA
Source: RNAcentral
GAUCCUGGCUCAGGAUGAACGCUAGCUACAGGCUUAACACAUGCAAGUCGAGGGGCAUCAGUUUGGUUUGCUUGCAAACCAAAGCUGGCGACCGGCGCACGGGUGAGUAACACGUAUCCAACCUGCCUCAUACUCGGGGAUAGCCUUUCGAAAGAAAGAUUAAUAUCCGAUAGCAUAUAUUUCCCGCAUGGGUUUUAUAUUAAAGAGAUUCGGUAUGAGAUGGGGAUGCGUUCCAUUUAG